GUACUAUGAUGGUUGCAUAGUUCAGCAGAUAUGUCAUGAAGAGAUUAACACCUGUCCGAUGUAUCU
Molecule: small nucleolar RNA, 66 nt
Organism: Heterocephalus glaber (naked mole-rat)
Lineage: Eukaryota; Metazoa; Chordata; Mammalia; Rodentia; Bathyergidae
Source: Ensembl